RNAcentral lists this ribosomal RNA (305 nucleotides) under uncultured bacterium. RNAcentral describes it as "bacterial SSU rRNA". It matches the Rfam family "Bacterial small subunit ribosomal RNA", at positions 337 to 657 of the family's 1533-position model. The record is from RNAcentral.
CCCUACGGGGCGCAGCAGUGGGGGAUAUUGCACAAUGGGGGAAACCCUGAUGCAGCGACGCCGCGUGGGCGAAGAAGUAUUUCGGUAUGUAAAGCCCUAUCAGCAGGGAAGAAGAAAUGACGGUACCUGAGUAAGAAGCACCGGCUAAAUACGUGCCAGCAGCCGCGGUAAUACGUAUGGUGCAAGCGUUAUCCGGAUUUACUGGGUGUAAAGGGAGCGUAGACGGCUAAUCAAGUCAGAAGUGAAAACCCAGGGCUCAACCUUGGGAGUGCUUUUGAAACUGAGUAGAUAGAGUGCAGGAGAGG